This 253-nucleotide ribosomal RNA is filed under the name uncultured bacterium. Its description in RNAcentral is "partial 16S ribosomal RNA". It matches the Rfam family "Bacterial small subunit ribosomal RNA", at positions 524 to 776 of the family's 1533-position model. The record is from RNAcentral.
GACGUAGGGCGCGAGCGUUGUCCGGAUUUAUUGGGCGUAAAGAGCGUGUAGGCGGUCAGGUAGGUCCGUUGUGAAAACUCGAGGCUCAACCUCGAGACGCCGAUGGAAACCAUCUGACUAGAGUCCGGAAGAGGAGAGUGGAAUUCCUGGUGUAGCGGUGAAAUGCGCAGAUAUCAGGAAGAACACCCGUGGCUAAGGCGGCUCUCUAGUACGGUACUGACGCUGAGACGCGAAAGCGUGGGGAGCGAACAGG